Maniola jurtina (meadow brown) is the source of this 139-nucleotide long non-coding RNA. RefSeq lists it as uncharacterized. The record is from RefSeq and is a predicted model, not a curated record. The transcript is spliced from 3 exons. NCBI's taxonomy places the organism in Eukaryota, Metazoa, Arthropoda, Insecta, Lepidoptera, Nymphalidae.
UCUCAGGCUGAGAUCUGUAGAGCGCACUUUGAUUUUGCUAAGACUUAAGACACGGUUAAAAUGAGACGGCGUUAUACCGCUGGCAUAAAGUCUCGUUUUAACUGAAACUUAAGCCUAUGCAAAGUACGCUCUAUAAUCU